ACGAACGCUGGCGGCGUGCUUAACCCAUGCAAGUCGAACGGAAAGGCCCUGCUUUUGUGGGGUGCUCGAGUGGCGAACGGGUGAGUAACACGUGAGUAACCUGCCCUUGACUUUGGGAUAACUUCAGGAAACUGGGGCUAAUACCGGAUAGGAGCUCCUGCUGCAUGGUGGGGGUUGGAAAGUUUCGGCGGUUGGGGAUGGACUCGCGGCUUAUCAGCUUGUUGGUGGGGUAGUGGCUUACCAAGGCUUUGACGGGUAGCCGGCCUGAGAGGGUGACCGGCCACAUUGGGACUGAGAUACGGCCCAGACUCCUACGGGAGGCAGCAGUGGGGAAUAUUGCACAAUGGGCGGAAGCCUGAUGCAGCAACGCCGCGUGCGGGAGGACGGCCUUCGGGUUGUAAACCGCUUUCGCCUGUGACGAAGCGUGAGUGACGGUAAUGGGUAAAGAAGCACCGGCUAACUACGU
Molecule: ribosomal RNA, 466 nt
Filed under: uncultured bacterium
Lineage: Bacteria
Description: partial 16S ribosomal RNA
Rfam family: Bacterial small subunit ribosomal RNA
Source: RNAcentral